This 546-nucleotide ribosomal RNA is filed under the name Hyperolius sp. LMN-2018. Its description in RNAcentral is "partial small subunit ribosomal RNA". It matches the Rfam family "Bacterial large subunit ribosomal RNA", at positions 1834 to 2597 of the family's 2925-position model. The record is from RNAcentral. Lineage: Eukaryota; Metazoa; Chordata; Amphibia; Anura; Hyperoliidae.
CUUGAUAAAAUAUAAGAGGUCCCGCCUGCCCCGUGAGACAAUUUAACGGCCGCGGUAUCUUGACCGUGCAAAGGUAGCAUAAUAAAUUGUUCCUUAAAUAGGGACUAGUAUGAACGGCAUCACGAGGGUUUAACUGUCUCCCUACUUUAAUCAAUGAAAUUGAUCUCUCCGUGAAGAAGCGGAGAUAUAAAUAUAAGACGAAAAGACCCCAUGGAGCUUUAAACUUACUCUCAAUUACCAAAGCUCAAAACACAUACUCGGUAAAAAUGGCAGUAGUUUUCGGUUGGGGCGACCUUGGAGAAAAAUAAAUCCUCCAAGCUGAAUAGAUCUAAAAUCUAAUGUUAGAGCAACAACUCAAACAAUCAAAACCUUGACAAAAUGACCCAGAAUUUAUCUGAUCAACGGACCAAGUUACCCUGGGGAUAACAGCGCAAUCCAUUUCAAGAGCCCUUAUCGACAAAUGGGUUUACGACCUCGAUGUUGGAUCGGGAUAUCCUAGCAGCGCAGCCGUUGCUUUAGGUUCGUUUGUUCAACGAUUAACAACCC